Cygnus atratus (black swan) is the source of this 1464-nucleotide RNA transcript. RefSeq lists it as uncharacterized. The transcript is spliced from 8 exons. The record is from RefSeq and is a predicted model, not a curated record. Lineage: Eukaryota; Metazoa; Chordata; Aves; Anseriformes; Anatidae.
UAUGUUGUCAUUUUUCUCAAAUGUGGCCUGGCUGCAACAAGAUUGGAAAUUACUGAUCCUACAGUAAAUCAGAUAAUCUCUGUAGGCCUUGGUUUCUCCAUAUGAAAAAGUGGGAUCAAUGCAGGGUUUUAAUAAAAGCUCUGAAUACUUGAGGACCCCAGCUAUUGGAGAACCGGAGAAGGUGCUGUGCUGCUUGCAGAGUAGGCAGUGCUGCAGAUCCUCUCCGUGUAUGAGUUUGCAUCACAGCUGCCUACCUACAGCAUGGUCUAGAGCUUCUGUGUACCUCUGCAAUAAAAAUACUCACUGGCAAAGCAUAAGUGAAAAUUUACUAUGUAGCGUAACUACUCGGGGCUGGCAUCAGGUCCAGUGUCGGUGGGUGAGACCUGUGCGAGUGCAGCACGUGGAGUGGAUGUACACAACUUGGGGCAGCACUGUGGCUGUUUGCAGGGAUUUGGCCUGUCUACCUGACUGUGAAAACCAGUCCCCUGCCCUCAGUCUGCUGCAUGCCAGCGUUGAGCCCAGACCGUCACCACCCAGGUUUUGCCCCUUACUUCUUAUCCUGUUAGUGUCCUGUCACCACAGAAAAGAGUCUGGCUCAUUCUUCUCUACUCCUCCUGACCACCAUCAGAGAGGACAUGAAUUAUCUUUCUGACACCGUAUCUGAUCUUGCAGGAAAGGUGGUAGCCCUGCUGUCUGAGCAGAUCUUCAGGAGUAUGAUGGGAGAGUAUUUCUAGAGUUUCCACCUGCAGGGCAUACCUGUGUAAUGGGAUUUUAUACUGCCCUGGUGUCCUUCCUGAAGAAGAUGACCAUGGAUCUCUGAAAGUCCAGCGAUUUGGACACCAAUAUUCUUCCAGAAGACAGCACCAGAUCCUGUUUUUCUACACUUCUAACAUCACGGAGAUGACACUCUUUACAUGGGUAAAGUGAGAAGCAUUUCUUAGGAGUGUCUUGUGAUUUCUUUUCCGCUUAUAGACUGCCUGCUUUUUUGCCAGAUGUAAUAAAUAAAUACGUCAGGCUUCUCUGAGAUGCUUUGGCACAUGCCCUCACCAGAAGAACUGGGGCUCACAGGGAAGACAUGGUAACUCUCAUUUCCCACCUGCACCACACCAGGAGGUGCCUGGGGUCAAAUGGCAUCCCCACUGACACCACCUCUCCGAAACCUCAUGUUUUGAAGAGGAAAGAUGAUGCAGUGCUUUUCUGUCUCUGCAACAGGGCACUCAUGACCUUCAUCAAAUACAUUUUCCGAAGUGUUUUUAUUUACAUAUUAUAGCACAAGUAGAAAAAUACAUUUAAAAUAUUACCAAGUUAAUCCCUUUCUAGUUAGCUUGUGACCCUUACGGGAUGGAGAAAGAUGUUCCAUUUUUCUCCAAAACCAUGAAUUGGCAAAGUCAGCUAACAGUAUAUUCCAAUCUCUUUUAACUUAUGUUGUAUUAUUUCCAGUUUAUAAUUAUUCAAGCACUUCCU